ACCUAGUGGCAAACGGGUGAGUAACACAUGGGUUACCUGCCUCUAAGUUGGGGAUAACAGUUGGAAACGAUUGCUAAUACCGAAUGUGAUCUACGGAUUAAAGUCCCCUUAAGGAACGCUUAGAGAUGGGCCUGUGGCGUAUUAGCUUGUUGGUGGGGUAAUGGCCUACCAAGGCAACGAUGCGUAGCCGAGCUGAGAGGCUAAUCGGCCACACUGGGACUGAGACACGGCCCAGACUCCUACGGGAGACAGCAGUUAGGAAUAUUCGUCAAUGGGGGAAACCCUGAACGAGCAAUGCCGCGUGAGUGAUGACGGCCCUCUGGGUUGUAAAACUCUGUUGUUUGGAAAGAACUGUAAAAAUAGGAAAUGAUUUUUACUUGACGGUACCAUUCAAGAAAGCUCCGGCUAACUACGUGCCAGCCGCGGC
This 427-nucleotide ribosomal RNA is filed under the name uncultured bacterium. RNAcentral describes it as "bacterial SSU rRNA". It matches the Rfam family "Bacterial small subunit ribosomal RNA", at positions 90 to 518 of the family's 1533-position model. The record is from RNAcentral.